CGGGUUGUUAAAGCACUUUUCAGUAGGGAGGAAGGUAGUGUAGUUAACACCUGCAUUAUUUGACGUUUACCUACAGAAGAAGCACCGGCUAACUCCGUGCCAGCAGCCGCGGUAAUACGGAGGGUGCGAGCGUUAAUCGGAAUUACUGGGCGUAAAGCGCAUGCAGGCGGCCUGUUAAGUCAGAUGUGAAAGCCCGGGGCUUAACCUCGGAAUUGCAUUUGAAACUGGCAGGCUAGAGUCUUGUAGAGGGGGUAGAAUUUCAGGUGUAGCGGUGAAAAUGCGUAGAGAUCUGAAGGAAUACCAGUGGCGAAGGCGGCCCCCUGGACAAAGACUGACGCUCAGAUGCGAAAGCGUGGGGAGCAAACAGGAUUAGAUACCCUGGUAG
Molecule: ribosomal RNA, 385 nt
Filed under: uncultured bacterium
Lineage: Bacteria
Description: bacterial SSU rRNA
Rfam family: Bacterial small subunit ribosomal RNA
Source: RNAcentral